Molecule: ribosomal RNA, 870 nt
Filed under: Agaricus arvensis
Lineage: Eukaryota; Fungi; Basidiomycota; Agaricomycetes; Agaricales; Agaricaceae
Description: eukaryotic LSU rRNA
Rfam family: Eukaryotic large subunit ribosomal RNA
Source: RNAcentral
AGGAUUCCCCUAGUAACUGCGAGUGAAGCGGGAAAAGCUCAAAUUUAAAAUCUGGCGGUCUCUGGCCGUCCGAGUUGUAAUCUAGAGAAGUAAUGCCCGUGCUGGACCGUGUAUAAGUCUCCUGGGAUGGGGCGUCAUAGAGGGUGAGAAUCCCGUCUUUGACACGGACUACCAGUGCAUUGUGGUAUGCUCUCAAAGAGUCGAGUUGUUUGGGAAUGCAGCUCAAAAUGGGUGGUAAAUUCCAUCUAAAGCUAAAUAUUGGCGAGAGACCGAUAGCGAACAAGUACCGUGAGGGAAAGAUGAAAAGAACUUUGGAAAGAGAGUUAAACAGUACGUGAAAUUGCUGAAAGGGAAACGCUUGAAGUCAGUCGCGUUGGCCGGGGAUCAGCCUUGCUUUUGCAUGGUGUAUUUUCUGGUUGACGGGUCAGCAUCAAUUUUGACCGCUGGAAAAAGACCUGGGGAAUGUGGCAGCUUCGGCUGUGUUAUAGCCCCUAGUCGCAUACAGUGGUUGGGAUUGAGGAACUCAGCACGCCGCAAGGCCGGGUUUCGACCACGUUCGUGCUUAGGAUGCUGGCAUAAUGGCUUUAAGCGACCCGUCUUGAAACACGGACCAAGGAGUCUAACAUGCCUGCGAGUAUUUGGGUGGAAAACCCAAGUGCGUAAUGAAAGUGAAAGUUGAGAUCCCUGUCGUGGGGAGCAUCGACGCCCGGACCAGAACUUUUGGGACGGAUCCGCGGUGGAGCAUGUAUGUUGGGACCCGAAAGAUGGUGAACUAUGCCUGAAUAGGGUGAAGCCAGAGGAAACUCUGGUGGAGGCUCGUAGCGAUUCUGACGUGCAAAUCGAUCGUCAAAUUUGGGUAUAGGGGCGAAA